GCAUCAUUGGUCUAGUGGUAGAAUUCGUCGUUGCCAUCGACGAGGCCCGUGUUCGAUUCACGGAU
This 65-nucleotide transfer RNA is filed under the name Penicillium salamii. RNAcentral's name for it is "tRNA-Pseudo". It matches the Rfam family "tRNA". Rfam says of the family: Transfer RNA (tRNA) molecules are approximately 80 nucleotides in length. The record is from RNAcentral. Lineage: Eukaryota; Fungi; Ascomycota; Eurotiomycetes; Eurotiales; Aspergillaceae.